UACGGGCAUAGUAUAAAGGUAGUACAAAGGUCUCCAAAACCUUUGGUGUGGGUUCAAUUCCUGCUGCCCGUGU
Molecule: transfer RNA, 73 nt
Filed under: Lactococcus cremoris
Lineage: Bacteria; Bacillati; Bacillota; Bacilli; Lactobacillales; Streptococcaceae
Also listed under: 3 other names
Description: Lactococcus lactis subsp. cremoris tRNA-Trp
Rfam family: tRNA
About the family: Transfer RNA (tRNA) molecules are approximately 80 nucleotides in length. Their secondary structure includes four short double-helical elements and three loops (D, anti-codon, and T loops).
Source: RNAcentral